AAAAAUUAAAAAUUAUUUUUAGAAACUAGAAAUUAAAAGAGAAAUAAUACAAUUGGUCCCGUAAUUUUUGGACAAUAAUGAGAGAGAUAUGAAUUUUAGAAAUAAAAUGAAAUAAAAGAAAUAAAAUGGAUUAAAUCAGAAAUUAGAAAAAACCACGUGCGUUGGAUGAGAUCUCUUUAAUUGACGUGGAGGAUCUAAUGGCAAUGAG
This 208-nucleotide long non-coding RNA is filed under the name Lathyrus oleraceus (garden pea). RNAcentral describes it as "Pisum sativum (pea) long non-coding RNA (PSAT_LNC005704)". The record is from RNAcentral. Lineage: Eukaryota; Viridiplantae; Streptophyta; Magnoliopsida; Fabales; Fabaceae.